Molecule: small nuclear RNA, 162 nt
Filed under: Salvator merianae (Argentine black and white tegu)
Lineage: Eukaryota; Metazoa; Chordata; Lepidosauria; Squamata; Teiidae
Description: U1 spliceosomal RNA (ENSSMRG00000021030.1)
Rfam family: U1 spliceosomal RNA
About the family: U1 is a small nuclear RNA (snRNA) component of the spliceosome (involved in pre-mRNA splicing). Its 5' end forms complementary base pairs with the 5' splice junction, thus defining the 5' donor site of an intron. There are significant differences in sequence and secondary structure between metazoan and yeast U1 snRNAs, the latter being much longer (568 nucleotides as compared to 164 nucleotides in human).
Source: Rfam by way of RNAcentral
AUACAUACCUGGCAGGGGAGACACCAUAAUCAUGAAGGAGGUUUUCCCAGGGUGUGGCUCAUCCACUGCACCCUGGGUGUGCUGACCCUGUGAUUUCCCAAAAUGUGGGAAACUUGUCUGCAUAAUUUUGGUAGUAGGGGACUGUAUUUGUGCUUUCCUCUA